Spinacia oleracea (spinach) is the source of this 738-nucleotide long non-coding RNA. RefSeq lists it as uncharacterized. The transcript is spliced from 2 exons. The record is from RefSeq and is a predicted model, not a curated record. NCBI's taxonomy places the organism in Eukaryota, Viridiplantae, Streptophyta, Magnoliopsida, Caryophyllales, Amaranthaceae.
UCUCCCUCUCUCAUACACACACACGCAUUCACUCAAGUCCUAGGCAGCAAAGGAUCGAAGAUCACAAGAAAUGCAACUAAAGAAGAGCAUUUCUUGACCCCUUAUAAGUGUUGUAGAUACUGAAUGCAUUUGUAUUCAGUAAGAUGUUGAAUUUUCAAACCUUGACCCCUUAUAAUUUUUUGGCCAAGAUUCGCCACUGCUUGAAACGGUGGUCAUUGAUAGCAGGAAGACUUCCAGAAAGAACAGAUAAUGAGAUAAAAAAAACUACUAGAAUUCUCAUUUGAGCAGAAAGCUAAAUCAGGAAACAAGAAAGACAGAGCUUUCAGUACCUCUAUUACUGCUAUUACAACAUCAAUAACAUCUUUAAGCGCGGAGAUUAAUUCGAGAAAAGACUGUUAAAGAUGGCGACAGUGAGAUUAAUGUUAAAGAUGGUGACAGUAAAAAUAAUAUUGAUAUGAAGAACUUGUUUGAUAGCUCUGCUGAAGAAACCUGUGGCUUGGAUUGGGUUGAUAAAUUUCUUAAAACAGAUGAACAAUUGUAAUCAAAUCUCGUCUGCAUCACGUCAGUUUCUAGUUUCCUGUGCGAACAAAAACAUUGCAAGAAAAAGGGUACAGAGAAGUAGGCUAAACAAUGUUACAGUAUGUUUUUUCUGUAAUUUCAUUCCAUGGAGAAUUUUACAGCAUAUGGUACAUUCUUUACUGUACAGUAAUAAAUAAUAACAUCUGUAAUUUCCUUUUC